UCCUAAGGCCAGCUCAGUGAGGACAGAAACCUCGCGUAGAGCAAAAGGGCAAAAGCUGGCUUGAUCCAGAUUUUCAGUACGAAUACGGACCGCGAAAGCGGGGCCUAUC
This 109-nucleotide ribosomal RNA is filed under the name Tetranychus urticae (two-spotted spider mite). RNAcentral describes it as "rRNA tetur42g00318". It matches the Rfam family "Eukaryotic large subunit ribosomal RNA", at positions 2661 to 2769 of the family's 3401-position model. The record is from RNAcentral. Lineage: Eukaryota; Metazoa; Arthropoda; Arachnida; Trombidiformes; Tetranychidae.